This 1135-nucleotide unclassified non-coding RNA is filed under the name Hevea brasiliensis (rubber tree). The record is from RNAcentral. Lineage: Eukaryota; Viridiplantae; Streptophyta; Magnoliopsida; Malpighiales; Euphorbiaceae.
ACUCUUGGGUUUUGAAAUGCCAGGGCAACAUCAGGAUUCGCCAUGAUUUUUGAGAUUACUUCAUCGGGUGUAAGGCCAAUUUGGGCAAAUUGCUGCUUAACCUCAGGACUGUUGAGAUCAAAAUUUUUUCAAGGAUUCCAUCAUCCGGUUAUCCCAUUCACCACUUCCACUCAUAUUAUUCAUUUGAAAGUAGCAGGGUUCCUCAUCUCCUCCGGUAAAUAUCUGAAAGGAUAUCAACAAAAUUAAACUAAAGAAAACAAGAAGUGCAGGCGGCCAACUUAAGAAAAAUCAAAACAAUUUCACCUUAUUCACACAAACAAAGAAGAGAUAAGCCCAAAGAAUCAGAAUAUAACUAAUAGCAAUGACAAGACUCCUAGCCAAACAGGGAACAUAAGAAAAACAGCACAUCAUCACAAAGGACAAUCAAACUAGAAAAGCACAAAAAGUUUCAACAUAAAAAAAGAUCUAUUACGGAUAAACCAUCUUCUGAACUGUUGGAUCUUCCAUCAUUUUCUCCAGAGCUUGCACGGAUAAGCGAGGACCUGCUUUACCAAUCCAUGAACAAAUAUGAAAUCAUAUAGGAUUCUCUUAAAUAUCAAAAAAAUUCCGCUGGAAAGUAAAGGCAAUAAAUGACAAUCAAGCAUAAGAGUGUCAAUAAAGAUAAAGAAGGAAGCAAAAGGAGAUCAAAAUUAAAAUAAAAUUCCACCUGAAAUCAAACUGAAGCUAUAACACCUCCUAACAGAUAUGAAAGUAAAAUUGCACCAUAUCAUUUUAUGAGAAUGAUUUAAAUUCAAGAGCCUAUAAAUCAUGAUCUAGAUUGAUGAGUCACUGGGUUGAUAGGAAUAACUACCCAAAGUGCACAGAAAUGAAUGCAGAUGCACAUAAAAUGAUCUUAUGUCUGCAUGCACCCACAUCAAGUGAUGAGAUUUCAUGAAUAAAUUUGAAUUACAAAGCAGUAAUAUUCCUGAAAUGGCCACUCACUUCCUGAAUGAUUUUUAAUAUCAUUAAAAAAACAGGUACCCUUUAUCAUCUUCUCCAUAUAAGAAAACUUUUAAGGUGUAGAUCCCUAUUUAGUAAAUAACAAGAUCAGACUGAUGUUUGAUCUAGGAAGAAGAAAACUCACUGGAUAAGUGUA